Molecule: ribosomal RNA, 393 nt
Filed under: Triticum aestivum (bread wheat)
Lineage: Eukaryota; Viridiplantae; Streptophyta; Magnoliopsida; Poales; Poaceae
Description: partial small subunit ribosomal RNA
Source: RNAcentral
AUGCGUCGGCCGGCGUGCGCGCUGGCAAGGUUGGGCGGGACCUGGCGGUUGGCGGCGGCUCGAUCCACUCCUAAUCGGGAGCUGAGCCUGCAUCUCCGCCACUGCGCCUUGUUUCUCUCUCCACCGCCACCUCUCCUCGCCUCUCCUUCCAAUGUCGGUCGCCGCCGCCCUCCCCGUACCUCCCCCUCAUGGCUCCUCUCUUUAUCACCGGCGCCAUGGCUGUGCUCGGAGGAGGACCGCCGAUGCCAGGUUGACGAGGAUGAUGAGGUAACUGUUGGCGAGGGCAAAGCGAAGUCGUCAGAUCCGUCACCACCGCUAUUCUCCUAUUCACCACCGCCGCUGUUCUCCUACUCGCCGCCUCCGUCGUCCACAUGCUCCUCCUCACGACCAUGA